RNAcentral lists this unclassified non-coding RNA (337 nucleotides) under soil metagenome. RNAcentral's name for it is "partial contains 5.8S ribosomal RNA, internal transcribed spacer 2, and large subunit ribosomal RNA". The stretch from base 1 to 120 matches the Rfam family "5.8S ribosomal RNA", at positions 35 to 154 of the family's 154-position model. The record is from RNAcentral.
GAUGAAGAACGUAGCGAAAUGCGAUAAGUAGUGUGAAUUGCAGAAUUCAGUGAAUCAUCGAAUCUUUGAACGCACAUUGCGCCCCUUGGUAUUCCAUGGGGCAUGCCUGUUCGAGCGUCAUUUGUACCUUCAAGCUCUGCUUGGUGUUGGGUGUUUGUCUCGCCUCUGCGUGUAGACUCGCCUUAAAACAAUUGGCAGCCGGCGUAUUGAUUUCGGAGCGCAGUACAUCUCGCGCUUUGCACUCAUAACGACGACGUCCAAAAGUACAUUUUUACACUCUUGACCUCGGAUCAGGUAGGGAUACCCGCUGAACUUAGGCAUAUCAAUAAGCGGAGGA